Molecule: ribosomal RNA, 1428 nt
Filed under: uncultured organism
Description: 16S ribosomal RNA
Rfam family: Bacterial small subunit ribosomal RNA
Source: RNAcentral
GAACGCUGGCGGCGUGCUUAACACAUGCAAGUCGAGCGAUGAAGUUUCCUUCGGGAAACGGAUUAGCGGCGGACGGGUGAGUAACACGUGGGUAACCUGCCUCAUAGAGUGGAAUAGCCUUCCGAAAGGAAGAUUAAUACCGCAUAAUGUUGAAAGAUGGCAUCAUCAUUCAACCAAAGGAGCAAUCCGCUAUGAGAUGGACCCGCGGCGCAUUAGCUAGUUGGUGGGGUAACGGCCUACCAAGGCGACGAUGCGUAGCCGACCUGAGAGGGUGAUCGGCCACAUUGGGACUGAGACACGGCCCAGACCCCUACGGGAGGCAGCAGUGGGGAAUAUUGCACAAUGGGGGAAACCCUGAUGCAGCAACGCCGCGUGAGUGAUGAAGGUUUUCGGAUCGUAAAGCUCUGUCUUUGGGGAAGAUAACGACGGUACCCAAGGAGGAAGCCACGGCUAACUACGUGCCAGCAGCCGCGGUAAUACGUAGGUGGCGAGCGUUAUCCGGAUUUACUGGGCGUAAAGGGAGCGUAGGCGGAUGAUUAAGUGGGAUGUGAAAUACCCGGGCUCAACUUGGGUGCUGCAUUCCAAACUGGUUAUCUAGAGUGCAGGAGAGGAGAGUGGAAUUCCUAGUGUAGCGGUGAAAUGCGUAGAGAUUAGGAAGAACACCAGUGGCGAAGGCGACUCUCUGGACUGUAACUGACGCUGAGGCUCGAAAGCGUGGGGAGCAAACAGGAUUAGAUACCCUGGUAGUCCACGCCGUAAACGAUGAAUACUAGGUGUGGGGGUUUCAACACCUCCGUGCCGCCGCUAACGCAUUAAGUAUUCCGCCUGGGGAGUACGGUCGCAAGAUUAAAACUCAAAGGAAUUGACGGGGACCCGCACAAGUAGCGGAGCAUGUGGUUUAAUUCGAAGCAACGCGAAGAACCUUACCUACACUUGAUAUCCCUUGCAUUACUCUUAAUCGAGGAAAUCCCUUCGGGGACAAGGUGACAGGUGGUGCAUGGUUGUCGUCAGCUCGUGUCGUGAGAUGUUGGGUUAAGUCCCGCAACGAGCGCAACCCUUGUCGUUAGUUACUACCAUUAAGUUGAGGACUCUAGCGAGACUGCCUGGGUUAACCAGGAGGAAGGUGGGGAUGACGUCAAAUCAUCAUGCCCCUUAUGUGUAGGGCUACACACGUGCUACAAUGGCUGGUACAGAGAGAUGCAAUACCGCGAGGUGGAGCCAAACUUAAAAACCAGUCUCAGUUCGGAUUGUAGGCUGAAACUCGCCUACAUGAAGCUGGAGUUACUAGUAAUCGCGAAUCAGAAUGUCGCGGUGAGUACGUUCCCGGGUCUUGUACACACCGCCCGUCACACCAUGAGAGUUGGCAAUACCCGAAGUCCGUGAGCCAACCGCAAGGAGGCAGCGGCCGAAGGUAGGGUCAGCGAUUGG